Carassius auratus (goldfish) is the source of this 2899-nucleotide long non-coding RNA. RefSeq lists it as uncharacterized. The record is from RefSeq and is a predicted model, not a curated record. NCBI's taxonomy places the organism in Eukaryota, Metazoa, Chordata, Actinopteri, Cypriniformes, Cyprinidae. The transcript has 5 exons.
CUCAAGAUGUGGAGAAAAUCUGUAACAGUGUGGUGCACCUCUACUCUAAUGUCAGCAACGUAAUGCAGAAAACACGAAAAAAAAACUACAAAUUUUCUGUAAUUCUGAACCAUUUGUCUUCAGUUUGAGCACACUUGAUUAUUUUCUCUUUUCAUGCAGCCUCUAGACAUAUUGAUCUGUAUCUGCAAACUGCUCUUUUAAUGCUUUAGUUUCAUAGAAAUUACCAGCUAAUUUUGUCCAUCAGUCUCAACUUUAAGUUUGAAACCUCUGCCUGCUCUUAUGUAGGGUCCAGCUAGCUUGCUGAUCUAUAGUGUAUAGUGUAUAGCUGUACUAUAGCAUAUCUGGUGUUCUCCAGUCUGCUCCUUACAGGGCUACGCAGGCCGAUUGGCAAGAUGACUAUAACUGAGCAGAGGUAUGAGGGGGAGUACAGAAGUGUCAGCUCUCGCUUCAUCACUAACAGAUUGCAUUCUACAAUGGAAACAGGAGAGAAAAGCAAACUAUCAAUGGAACAUUCCAGAGACUGCCAUAGUGGUGGGCUAACUGGUUAUUAGAAGGCCGUUCCUGGACCUCACAAACCAGCGGAAAGUGAACAUCACACACUCUGAAGGACUGGAAAUGAGACUACUACCAGAGUGGGCGGAUGUCGAUGAGUUUGGCGCAGGCCCUGAGAAGGCAGAGAUAUGACAGGACUGUCAGGAGAUGAUUCAGUAGAGAAAAUCCCUCUUACCCUGGGAGAGAUCCAGUCAUCAUCAUCAUCAUCAUGACAUGAUCGCUUUAUAUGAAGAACAGAUUAAAUUUAGACUUUUAUUUACCUAUAAACAUUGAUCAACAAUCCACAUACGUAUACUGUAGAAAAAGAUCAACCAUGCUUGCUUGACACAAAAGAAUGAAGUUUGUUUACCCGUGUCACACAACUUCGGUUGACCAUAUUUGAUGAGCUUUAUGACUGUGGAAAUCCAUUUUUAUUUGUGAAUAAAAGCCUAAAUUAUAUCUUAUUAUAUCUUAUCUUAAUAUAAAGUACAAAAGUACAUAAAGUAAAAAUGUUUGUUCAGAGGACUUAAUUUGCUUAAUUCAUAUAGAUUACUUUUAUAAUCUCUUAUAUACACAAUAUUCUUCUGCACGAUAAAUGCAAAAAUGUUGUGUUGAAAGAAGAAGACCUUGAGGCAAAUGCUUAUUAUUUAGGACUAGAGGAAGUGCUCACUCCUCACCCCACCAUUCUCGUCUUCUGUCGUACGUGAGAAGUCAGGAAUGGAUUUGUUACUCCUGUGGGAGUUUGCUUUAGAGACAUCUGUCUCCCUGAGCUCCGCUGGAAUCAUCUGUUUCCUCUUUUCAGGUUGGCAUCACACUGCUCACAGUCUCCCACAGGAAAUCACUAUGGAAGCACCACGAGGUACAACUUAGCCCCCGUCUUUCUUCAUACAGUUUGCAGAAUUCAUUCCAAAACCUCAAGUUAUGCCCUAUGAUAUUUUUAACUCUUUGUAUCUCUAUACUGGAGUGUUACUUGCCAAUGGAUGGAAAGGGAAACUAUGAGUUUAAACCCAUCAUGAAGGAAACGGUGGCGUUUGGAUCAUAAUAAUGACACUUAUUCAUGAGUCAGUCUUUGAGUAAAUCAUCCAUAAUGAAAUCAUUCAAAUAUUUGCGCAAGAAUGAUUUUACACAGAAAUUCACAGCCCUGAAUGAGGCCUAUCUGUACUAGAUGUGGAUCUGAAGCAAUUGUAUUGUGUACCUAGUGAAUUAAAAAACUCUUUAUAUUAUAAAACUUUGUUGAAAUAUAACGGCUUUUCUUCGUCUGAGAGAAAGGAUUGUAACUCUGUGGAUAAAUAUGUCUCAGGGAGGGGUUACUGCGCAUUAUCUGAAAAGAUUUUUGUAAGGAAUAAAAUUGGGUUUGUUAUCCCUUUUAAGAAUCAAGCAUUUGUAAUAUAAAAAGUCAUUUUUUGUUGUGAUACUUGAUUUGUAUUUUGAAACUGGAACAGUCACAUGCAUAUGUUGUUGUCAAUAAAAUUGUUGCAUGCCACUGGAUACUAUGGAUAGUGUAUUAUUUAAGUGUAAUGAGCAGUCUAUGUAUUUUAUUUUAAAAGAUAAUAAUGCCUAAAAAUAUAUGUUUGAGAAAAUUCUUGAUACAUUGUGCUUUACAGACCAGUUCUAUUUAUUUUAUUGAAUUACAGAACGUGCAAUGAAAUAUCUUGUGAGAUAUUUUAAAAGCAAAGAAACUCUAAAUUGGUUUUAUGGUCAAUUUGUUUUAAUUUGACAUUUGGUUUGAGAGGUUUUUUAGGCUUUUUUACUUUUAUUUAGGAUAGGUUACUGCUUUGGAAGGCAUACACACAUUUGUUUGUUUCAAGUAUAAUUUAUGUCUUGAACAGAAAACAAAAACAAGACUUUUACAUCUUUACCAUAGUUUACCACAAGAGUGAGCUACUGGGACCAGAAUGCAACACUUUAUUUUUCACCAGAGAGUGUCUCCCGGUUCGUUUUCAUUUGUGUUGUGUUGCACAAUCUGAACAUGCUUUCUGUGCCAUUAGGGUUUUUGUUUAAAAAUGUAAAACAAGGAAUUGCUGCCUCAAAAGAUUACACUCUUCCUCUUUUUUUUGGAUUGUGCAAGUCCUUUUAAAUAAAUAAUUACAAAGCAUAGGUCAAUUAAGUUAAGUUUUGGUACCCCUUUAAAAAAAAAAAAAAAAAUUCAUGACAAGUAUAAUAAUUUAUUUGCGGUUUCUAUCUUUUGAAGUUCCUAGAUAUUAAAAAACAUAAAUAUAAAUAUUUCUUUUUCUACUAGAUAUAAUACUGUAUACACAAAGCAGCUAAUACAUGUAUUUCUAAAGAAAAUAAUAAAUAAUGGCAUUUAAUAAACCAAUACAUUUCAAAUACAAUACAUCUAUGACAAAAAAAAGAGAAAAAAAAAAAA